CAAUGCGAGGGCUGCAUCCCAGGACCCUGAGAUCAUGACCUGAGCUGAAGGCAGAGGCUUUAACCCACUGAGCCACCCAGGAGCCCCAGAAGCAGUACAGUUUUGAUCUGACACCUGAAAAACCUGAAUAUGAAGCAGCGGUUGAAACUGCGGAGGUGAUGGCUAAUGGCAGAUAAGGACUGAGGUGUCCCGGCAGACUGAGAAUUAGUUCUCAGUUCUGUACCUUCCUUGGCUCCUCAACGCAGAACAGGGAUGAAGUUCUUCGGCCCCCAAG
This 274-nucleotide long non-coding RNA is filed under the name Mustela putorius furo (domestic ferret). RNAcentral's name for it is "lncRNA (ENSMPUG00000027370.1)". Lineage: Eukaryota; Metazoa; Chordata; Mammalia; Carnivora; Mustelidae. The record is from RNAcentral.